AUUGAACGCUGGCGGCAGGCCUAACACAUGCAAGUCGAACGGUAACAGGAAGCAGCUUGCUGCUUUGCUGACGAGUGGCGGACGGGUGAGUAAUGUCUGGGAAACUGCCCGAUGGAGGGGGAUAACUACUGGAAACGGUAGCUAAUACCGCAUAACGUCGCAAGACCAAAGAGGGGGACCUUAGGGCCUCUCGCCAUCGGAUGUGCCCAGAUGGGAUUAGCUAGUAGGUGGGGUAACGGCUCACCUAGGCGACGAUCCCUAGCUGGUCUGAGAGGAUGACCAGCCACACUGGAACUGGGACACGGUCCAGACUCCUACGGGAGGCAGCAGUGGGGAAUAUUGCACAAUGGGCGCAAGCCUGAUGCAGCCAUGCCGCGUGUAUGAAGAAGGCCUUCGGGUUGUAAAGUACUUUCAGCGGGGAGGAAGGGAGUAAAGUUAAUACCUUUGCUCAUUGACGUUACCCGCAGAAGAAGCACCGGCUAACUCCGU
This 489-nucleotide ribosomal RNA is filed under the name uncultured bacterium. RNAcentral describes it as "partial 16S ribosomal RNA". It matches the Rfam family "Bacterial small subunit ribosomal RNA", at positions 30 to 506 of the family's 1533-position model. The record is from RNAcentral.